This 253-nucleotide ribosomal RNA is filed under the name uncultured bacterium. RNAcentral describes it as "partial 16S ribosomal RNA". It matches the Rfam family "Bacterial small subunit ribosomal RNA", at positions 524 to 776 of the family's 1533-position model. The record is from RNAcentral.
UACGUAGGGUGCGAGCGUUGUCCGGAAUUAUUGGGCGUAAAGAGCUCGUAGGCGGUUUGUCACGUCUGCUGUGAAAUCCCGAGGCUCAACCUCGGGCCUGCAGUGGGUACGGGCAGACUGGAGUGCGGUAGGGGAGAAUGGAAUUCCUGGUGUAGCGGUGGAAUGCGCAGAUAUCAGGAGGAACACCGAUGGCGAAGGCAGUUCUCUGGGCCGUAACUGACGCUGAGACGCGAAAGCGUGGGGAGCAAACAGG